UGGGGAAUAUUGCACAAUGGGCGAAAGCCUGAUGCAGCUAUGCCGCGUGUAUGAAGAAGGCCUUUGGGUUGUAAAGUACUUUCGUCAGGGAAGAAUAAAAAGAAACUAAUAUUUUCUUUUAAUGACGUUACCUGAAAAAGAAGCACCGGCUAACUCCGUGCCAGCAGCCGCGGUAAUACGGAGGGUGCUAGCGUUAAUCAGAAUUACUGGGCGUAAAGAGUGCGUAGGUUGUUUAUUAAGUCAGAUGUGAAAUCCCUAAGCUUAACUUAGGAACUGCAUUUGAAACUAAUAAACUAGAGUAUCGUAGAGGGAGGUAGAAUUCUAGGUGUAGCGGUGAAAUGCGUAGAUAUCUAGAGGAAUACCUGUGGCGAAAGCGACCUCCUGGACGAAUACUGACACUGAGGCACGAAAGCGUGGGGAGCAAACAGG
This 429-nucleotide ribosomal RNA is filed under the name uncultured Buchnera sp. RNAcentral's name for it is "bacterial SSU rRNA". It matches the Rfam family "Bacterial small subunit ribosomal RNA", at positions 355 to 776 of the family's 1533-position model. Lineage: Bacteria; Pseudomonadati; Pseudomonadota; Gammaproteobacteria; Enterobacterales; Erwiniaceae. The record is from RNAcentral.